UACGUAGGGUGCGAGCGUUAAUCGGAAUUACUGGGCGUAAAGGGUGCGCAGGCGGCCGCGCAAGUCGAGUGUGAAAGCCCCGAGCUUAACUUGGGAACUGCGCUCGAAACUACGUGGCUGGAGUGUGGCAGAGGAAGGUGGAAUUCCAGGUGUAGCGGUGAAAUGCGUAGAGAUCUGGAGGAACACCGAUGGCGAAGGCAGCCUUCUGGGCCAACACUGACGCUCAGGCACGAAAGCGUGGGGAGCAAACAGG
RNAcentral lists this ribosomal RNA (253 nucleotides) under uncultured bacterium. Its description in RNAcentral is "partial 16S ribosomal RNA". It matches the Rfam family "Bacterial small subunit ribosomal RNA", at positions 524 to 776 of the family's 1533-position model. The record is from RNAcentral.